CACCGCGGUUAUACGAGGGGUCCAAGUCAAUAGUAUCCGGCGUAAAGAGUGGUUAGGAGAACUAAAAACUAGAGCCCUACAUCCCCAUGACUGUUAUACGCACCCGGGGAAUGGAUGACCUCCUACGAAAGUGGCUUUAAUAUAACUGAACCCACGAAAGCUAUAGAA
RNAcentral lists this ribosomal RNA (168 nucleotides) under Zu cristatus (scalloped ribbonfish). Its description in RNAcentral is "partial 12S rRNA". Lineage: Eukaryota; Metazoa; Chordata; Actinopteri; Lampriformes; Trachipteridae. The record is from RNAcentral.